RNAcentral lists this long non-coding RNA (703 nucleotides) under Calidris pugnax (ruff). RNAcentral describes it as "lncRNA (ENSCPUG00000016003.1)". Lineage: Eukaryota; Metazoa; Chordata; Aves; Charadriiformes; Scolopacidae. The record is from RNAcentral.
CCCAGCUGGCUUUCAGCGCCGGAUUGCGGGAAAGCUCCCUCCUGCCCCGCAGCAGCGCGCCCCGGGAAGCAGACUGCUCUCCAGUUAGUGGUUUCGCUGUCACCGUAUCCGUACCGCCGGGCGAUCCAAAAACCCUCCCACCAGGACAGGGAAGGCUCAUUUUCCCUGGCUGGAGACAGAGCUCUCGGCACCGGCUCUCUGAUUUGUCGCCCCGGCCCCGGAGGGGGCACGGUGUGGUCAGCCCGGGAGCCCGCUAACAAAAGGGGGACCCCAGAGGGAAGGAGACCGAGGAGCUGGUCGCGGCGGGGGGAGCGCGGCGCAGGGGCGGGGGUCUCAUGGCUGCCGGCGGCGAGUGAGGAGCGGGCAGAGUGCGGGGGCUGCGCCGGGGGCAGAGAGCCCAUGGGCGGCCGGGCGAGCCUGGUGCGCCGCGGGAGGGAGCUGCCCCCCCUGCCCCGCCGCCGCUGGGCGCAGGAAGAGGCUGAGGCGACGGUUCAGCCUCAAGAAACAGCUUCAAGGUCCCACAUCUUCAAAAGCAAGUCUUUUAAGAAAUCCAAAAUUUGUGGAAUCUGCAAACAAGUAAUUGAUAGCCAAGGCAUUUCCUGCAGAGCUUGCAAAUAUGCCUGCCACAGGAAAUGUGAAGAAAAGGUAAGCAUAUUUAUUUGCCUCCCUUCUUGCUGUUGAUCCACACAUAUUUGAAGUUGAG